GGUGAAUUUUCCGCAAUGGGCAAAAGCCUGACGGAGCAAGACCGCGUGGGGGAAGAAGGCUCUUGGGUUGUAAACCCCUUUUCUCUGGGAAGAAAGUUGUGAAAGCAACCUGACGGUACCAGAGGAAUCAGCAUCGGCUAGCUCCGUGCCAGCAGCCGCGGUAAGACGGAGGAUGCAAGCGUUAUCCGGAAUGAUUGGGCGUAAAGCGUCCGCAGGUGGCAGUUCAAGUCUGCUGUCAAAGACCGGGGCUUAACUUCGGAAAGGCAGUGGAAACUGAACAGCUAGAGUAUGGUAGGGGCAGAGGGAAUUCCUGGUGUAGCGGUGAAAUGCGUAGAGAUCAGGAAGAACAUCGGUGGCGAAGGCGCUCUGCUGGACCAUAACUGACACUCAGGGACGAAAGCUAGGGGAGCGAAUGGGAUUAGAUACCCCAGUAGUCCUAGCCGUAAACGAUGGAUACUAGGUGUUGUCUGUAUCGACCCGGACAGUGCCGUAGCUAACGC
This 500-nucleotide ribosomal RNA is filed under the name uncultured cyanobacterium. Its description in RNAcentral is "bacterial SSU rRNA". It matches the Rfam family "Bacterial small subunit ribosomal RNA", at positions 356 to 858 of the family's 1533-position model. The record is from RNAcentral. Lineage: Bacteria; Bacillati; Cyanobacteriota.